UAUUGGGCAAUGGGCGCAAGCCUGACCCAGCAACGCCGCGUGAAGGAAGAAGGCUUUCGGGUUGUAAACUUCUUUUGACAGGGAAGAGUAGAAGACGGUACCUGUCGAAUAAGCCACGGCUAGCUACGUGCCAGCAGCCGCGGUAAUACGUAGGUGGCAAGCGUUGUCCGGAUUUACUGGGUGUAAAGGGCGUGUAGCCGGGUUGACAAGUCAGAUGUGAAAUCCUGCGGCUUAACCGCAGAACUGCAUUUGAAACUGUUGAUCUUGAGUACUGGAGAGGCAGACGGAAUUCCUAGUGUAGCGGUGAAAUGCGUAGAUAUUAGGAGGAACACCAGUGGCGAAGGCGGUCUGCUGGACAGCAACUGACGGUGAGGCGCGAAAGCGUGGGGAGCAAACAGG
Molecule: ribosomal RNA, 399 nt
Filed under: uncultured bacterium
Lineage: Bacteria
Description: bacterial SSU rRNA
Rfam family: Bacterial small subunit ribosomal RNA
Source: RNAcentral